RNAcentral lists this transfer RNA (20 nucleotides) under Corallorhiza wisteriana. RNAcentral describes it as "partial tRNA-Phe". The record is from RNAcentral. Lineage: Eukaryota; Viridiplantae; Streptophyta; Magnoliopsida; Asparagales; Orchidaceae.
GUGGGGAUAGGUUGAGAUUA